GGAAUUUGCACACUUAUAAUUCUCUCAACAUCUUACCAGUUCGUCAUUUAGAAGGUUCACAUGACAAUCCAGCCACUAUGGUUGAGAAGAACAUUAGCUGUGCACAGCAUAAGAGAUAAGACGCUAGACAUAGCUGCAGUUCAACGGCCACCAUUGGGAAGUUUUGCACAAUCAAUGCACGUGAAUGUGGAAGUGACUGGUUAACCAAUAUAUGCACUUUCUCAGCAGAAAAUAUAUAUUAAUCUUAGUCAUCAGUCAUUGAAGUUAGAGUUUCAUCAUCCAUGUACUUCUCUUGCACUGCUGCAACUCUGUAAUAGUCCCAAUCCGUAGCACCAACUGCAAUCUUGCUGAAUUCAACUGCACUUGCUUCCAUACCAGCAAAAAU
This 385-nucleotide unclassified non-coding RNA is filed under the name Hevea brasiliensis (rubber tree). Lineage: Eukaryota; Viridiplantae; Streptophyta; Magnoliopsida; Malpighiales; Euphorbiaceae. The record is from RNAcentral.